Molecule: small RNA, 306 nt
Filed under: Histoplasma capsulatum
Lineage: Eukaryota; Fungi; Ascomycota; Eurotiomycetes; Onygenales; Ajellomycetaceae
Also listed under: 1 other name
Description: hypothetical RNA
Source: RNAcentral
CCACACACACAACCAUAUCAUGCUAUAUAUAUAUAUAUACAUAUAUCCCACUAAUCUUUAACCGCCAACUACAAAGCGGAGUGUUGCUCGUUUCGCACUCUUCUAUCCUGGGCUACCAGUUCUUCUCUUGAACUACGGAAGCCCAAAAGCUAAUUUUGCGGAGCGGUGGCAUCUGGUGCAAAGCCUGGGAAGCUGUCAUUAAAGCACAAACAGCAAUAUUCAUGACUUAUCAACGAGGAACCCUUGAUCCCUGAGCUGAUCGGAGCCGGUUGGAGUGUGCAACGAUGUUCCUCUGCCCUUGCUGUC